This 449-nucleotide ribosomal RNA is filed under the name uncultured bacterium. RNAcentral describes it as "partial 16S ribosomal RNA". It matches the Rfam family "Bacterial small subunit ribosomal RNA", at positions 29 to 523 of the family's 1533-position model. The record is from RNAcentral.
AACGAACGCUGGCGGCAUGCCUAACACAUGCAAGUCGAACGAGAUCUUCGGGUCUAGUGGCGCACGGGUGCGUAACGCGUGGGAAUCUGCCUUUGGGUUCGGAAUAACAGUUGGAACCGACUGCUAAUACCGGAUGAUGACGAAAGUCCAAAGAUUUAUCGCAAGAGGAUGAGCCCGCGUAGGAUUAGCUAGUUGGUGUGGUAAGGGCGCACCAAGGCGACGAUCAUUAGCUGGUCUGAGAGGAUGAUCAGCCACACUGGGACUGAGACACGGCCCAAACUCCUACGGGAGGCAGCAGUGGGGAAUAUUGGGCAAUGGGCGAAAGCCUGAUCCAGCAAUGCCGCGUGAGUGAUGAAGGCCUUAGGGUUGUAAAGCUCUUUUACCCGGGAUGAUAAUGACAGUACCGGGAGAAUAAGCUCCGGCUAACUCCGUGCCAGCAGCCGCCGUAA